Molecule: ribosomal RNA, 200 nt
Filed under: uncultured eukaryote
Lineage: Eukaryota
Description: partial 18S ribosomal RNA
Source: RNAcentral
GCUCCAAUAGCGUAUAUUAAGCUGUUGCAGUUAAAAAGCUCGUAGUCGGAUUCGAGGUUUCCUGGCGAGCGGUCCCCGGCUUCGCAGUCGGGAGUUUACUGCUGUGCGUAGGGCCUGAGAAAAGCCGGGUGCUUCCGGUGCUCUUGACCGAGUGCCGGCGGCGAUCGGCAAACGUUUACUUUGAAGAAAUUAGAGUGUUC